Molecule: ribosomal RNA, 447 nt
Filed under: uncultured bacterium
Lineage: Bacteria
Description: bacterial SSU rRNA
Rfam family: Bacterial small subunit ribosomal RNA
Source: RNAcentral
UGGGGAAUAUUGGACAAUGGGCGCAAGCCUGAUCCAGCCAUGCCGCGUGAGUGACGAAGGCCUUAGGGUUGUAAAGCUCUUUUGGCGGGGAAGAUAAUGACGGUACCCGCAGAAUAAGCUCCGGCUAACUUCGUGCCAGCAGCCGCGGUAAUACGAAGGGAGCUAGCGUUGUUCGGAAUCACUGGGCGUAAAGCGCACGUAGGUGGGCAGUUAAGUCAGGGGUGAAAGCCCGAGGCUCAACCUCGGAAUUGCCUCUGAUACUGGCUGUCUAGAGUUCGAGAGAGGUGAGUGGAAUUCCUAGUGUAGAGGUGAAAUUCGUAGAUAUUAGGAAGAACACCGGUGGCGAAGGCGGCCCACUGGCUCGAUACUGACACUGAGGUGCGAAAGCGUGGGGAGCAAACAGGAUUAGAUACCCACGUAGUCCCUGAGCGGGCUGGCAAGGCGCAU